This is a long non-coding RNA of Monodelphis domestica (gray short-tailed opossum), 1297 nucleotides long. RefSeq lists it as uncharacterized. NCBI's taxonomy places the organism in Eukaryota, Metazoa, Chordata, Mammalia, Didelphimorphia, Didelphidae. The record is from RefSeq and is a predicted model, not a curated record.
GCAUGCCGCAUCACACUAUAUUAUCACAUUGAGGAUGGGAAAUUUGGAUAAUGAAUAUAUGAUUUUGAGGAGAAAAAAAAAGACUAUUUAGUGAAGCUGAUAUCCAUGAAAUGGAGCUCUUCAACUAGGGUUUGACUUCAUCCUUGGCCUGAUGGCAUGAUACAGCGCAGAUAGAUACAGAACGUUCCGCCACUUCCAAAACACGAAUAGAAAGUACCAAGUUUAUACCUACAGAGAAGGAUCGAUUCUGCUUGGGACGGGAUGCGUUUGGUCGAAGAUCAGAUGGUAACAUAGUAGAAGCCUGUGACUGCUGAAUGGGACAGGCAUGACUCUUCCCCAAAUGAGCUCUCCUUCUCCUCUUCAGUCUUCCAUGCUUGCAAAGGACAACUGGAGGUGCACUGGUGAACAGAACCAGUGUCUUCUUACUACCCCCUUUAUACAGUCCUGCAUAUUCAACUCCUAAACCUGAAAACAGAAUCAACAAAGUGAGGACAAUUUGUGUAUGGAUAUUGCUAUUUCCCAGCCUGCCUGCCUGUCUGACUCCUUUUCCCACUGGAUACUCAGUUAUAAAGGACAUCUAGUGGUAAGCUGGCAGUAGCACCAGCUCCCUGAGGUGCUGGUGACUUGGAAAGACAUUUCUCUCUCUUUAGGGAAAGCUGAGCUUUUCUUCGUGGCCUAUGGAUGCUGCUUGGAAAAACGACUAAGGGCCACCAGCUCCCUAUCUGCAAAUAUUCUGAGGGGGGAAAAGCAAUGAAAGGAGUCUCGCCUGACAGAUUUCAGGAAUACAAGGUGAAAUGCAAACGACAAGCAGAAUUUGAGAUCAGUUCUAAUGACUACUGUAGACCAUCAAUCAGUUAAUAAACAUUUUUAAUGCUGCUAUGUGCCAGGCACUGUGCUUAUCUUUGAAAUGAACUCAAAUAAUCUUCUCCAAUUCCUGUGGAAAAUAUAUAUUUCCACCAUGAUAGAAAGAAUGGUGACUUUAGGGUCAUAAGGCAUGAGUUCGAAGGUUGCCUCUAAAAAUGAUUUCCUGUGUGACUCUGUCACUUACCUCCCUGGAUCUCUGUUUUCACCCUAUAUAAAAUGAAAGGGGCUGGACUAGAUGAUCUCUGACAUCAGUUCCAACUCUGGACCCAUGAUCCUACAAUUUUCCAUCAUAAGCACAUACUCAGAAUUUGCUAAAACGUCUCCUUUCAGGAUUCUUUUUUUCUUAGACUUCUGUAAAGACCCUUCUUUUUCAUAUCUUAGAGUCAUUCUUAUAUUUCUAAAUCAAUAAAGACAAAUUGUUUUCCCACUAAAA